UGGUAUGCUAAGCAAUCUGUGAAAUGGGAUGC
Molecule: non-coding RNA, 32 nt
Filed under: Homo sapiens (human)
Lineage: Eukaryota; Metazoa; Chordata; Mammalia; Primates; Hominidae
Source: RNAcentral